Molecule: ribosomal RNA, 450 nt
Filed under: uncultured bacterium
Lineage: Bacteria
Description: partial 16S ribosomal RNA
Rfam family: Bacterial small subunit ribosomal RNA
Source: RNAcentral
GUGGGGAAUCUUCCGCAAUGGACGAAAGUCUGACGGAGCAACGCCGCGUGAGUGAUGAAGGUCUUCGGAUUGUAAAGCUCUGUUAAUCGGGACGAAAGAGCCUAGUGUGAAUAAUGCUAGGAAGUGACGGUACCGGAAUAGAAAGCCACGGCUAACUACGUGCCAGCAGCCGCGGUAAUACGUAGGUGGCAAGCGUUGUCCGGAAUUAUUGGGCGUAAAGCGCGCGCAGGCGGAUCUGCCAGUCUGUCUUAAAAGGUCGGGGCUUAACCCCGUGAUGGGAUGGAAACUACAGAUCUAGAGUAUCGGAGAGGAAAGUGGAAUUCCUAGUGUAGCGGUGAAAUGCGUAGAUAUUAGGAAGAACACCAGUGGCGAAGGCGACUUUCUGGACGAAAACUGACGCUGAGGCGCGAAAGCCAGGGGAGCGAACGGGAUUAGAUACCCUGGUAGUCC